This is a long non-coding RNA of Equus caballus (horse), 2669 nucleotides long. The record is from Ensembl. Lineage: Eukaryota; Metazoa; Chordata; Mammalia; Perissodactyla; Equidae.
CCCUCCUCCCCAUCUCUUUCUUCAUCUUCCUUCCUCCCCAUCUCUCUCUCCCCCAUCUCCCCUCCUCCCCAUCUCUCCCUUCUGCCCAUCCUCCACCUCUUUCUUCCUUCCAAUUUGGCAUUUGGACCCCAGAAUCCACCAACUCCUAACCAGUUCUGUCCUCCUCCACUACAGAACCCCCUCCCCCACCAAAUUUGUCUCUUUUCACUCCACCUCUCUCUGUCCCUCUUCUCUCCAUUUUGUCAUCCCUACACUAAGUUCUCCUCUGUCUUGCUCAUUUGUAUGCCUUUCCAGGCAUUUUCCAGCAUUUCUCUCUGACGCUGCCCCCUUGCAAUUCCUCUCUGGUGCCCUGCCCUCCAGUCUCUCUCCCUUCCUAGUCCACAUGGGCCCCAGAAGGAAAUUCCCAACACCCAGUUCUGAUCCCGUCCCACCUCCCAUUCCACCCCUUUCUGCUGCUCCAUCUUAUGAAGAGAGAAGCUGGUGAAGCCCCUGGCAGUGUGGCACCAUCAACUAACCACUUCUCUCCUGUCUGUGUCCCAGUCCAUCUUCCCACCAGAUUGGGAGCCCCUGGAGAAGGUGGGGGGGGAGGGGCAGGAUCUGAAGCAUCUCCCACUCCCAGCAUCAAGAGUGCAGGGCCUGACACACAGGAGACCUUGGGAAAUAUUUGCUGAGCAAAUGAAGGGAAGCCCACUAAGCAUGGUCCUCAGUGUUCUUCAAAUCCAUCCCCGCCCGCCCCCCCCCCCCCCCCCCCCCACAGCCCCGGCCCAGCUCAACUGCCAUCCUCUCAUUAUCCCAGAGCAUCUGCCUCGUGUUCAGCCCUGUCCCACACCCCAGGGGCUCCUUCUAACACUCACAUCUGAUCCUGCUCUUCUGCUGCUCAGAAUUCUCCUGUAUCUCCUCGCUACCCUUAGAAUAAAGUCCAGACUCCUCAGCCUGGGACUGCAGCACCUUUCCACUCGCUUCUAGCUGCUUCUCUUCCUUACCUCCUGUCCCCUGCCCUUCAGCUCCCGGAACCGUGAGCACUGUCCCCAGUAAAGCCCGCUGUUUCACGCCCCCCAGGGCCUUUGCCCAGCUUGUCCCCCUGCCCCGUGAAAGCCUUCCUCACCCCCUUCAUCACCUGGCAGGCUCCUACUCAUCCUUCUAAAGCCCAGGCGGGGCAUGCCAUUCUCCAGGAAGUCUCCCCCGAAAUUACUGCCCACUCCUGGCAGCUGGUCACUCUGUCCUCUGCCUGAGGUGCCCAUCGUGGGCCCUGUUACAGUACCCAUCACCCUGCCUCGAUAUUGCGUUUCUCGAUGGCUCCUCCUUGAGAGCAGAGUAGGGUCUGUUUCCCUGUGUCACCUCGGGGGAUGCUGAUUCUAACACACUGCCUGGUGUGUUGGCAGAGGCGCAAAAAUGUCAACGAGUGCUUGGCUGAAUUAACGAGUGAAGCACGAAUCUCUGAGUCCCAGUGUUUCUCCAGAGCACCAGACGCCAUGCCUGCACUUCAGUACUUGUGUAAUUGUGUGCUUCCUCCCACCAGGGUGAGUUUCAAGGGCCAGUGCCCGUGUUUGAUGCUGAAUUUCAGCGUGUGUCUGCCUCUUGCUCUCCCUUCUGAGUGCCUGCCUCCCUUUGUACACCAUUCACGGUAGGGAGGCUCCUGCUUAAAGUCAUUCCGUGGCUUCCUGCUGCCCUUAGAAUAAAAUCUAAACUCUGGACUAAACUACAAGUCCCUGGGCAGUCUGGCCCUGUCUACAUCGCCAGUCUCAUCUCGCUCCAUCUACACCUGGCUCUCUACACUUUAGCUCUCUCUGGAAACUCUUCCUGCCCCAGGGCCUUUGCAUAUGCUGUUCUCUAGCUGAGACACAUCCCCCAGCUUCCCCUGGAUGGCUUUCUGUCAUCCUUUCAGUGUCAGCUAAAAUAACCCUUUCUUUCAAACUAGGUUAAGCCUCCCUGACGAAGCAUUUCGUAGCCCUCCGGAUUUUUCUUAUGUCCUAAUUGUAACUUACUGUUUGUGUACACAAUUCUUUGAUUAAUGUCUGUCUCAUGCAUAAGAUGUACACUCUGUGAGGACGUUGGGGACCCUGUCCGUCUUGCUCUCUUGUGUAGCUCAGCAUUCAGCACAUUGCUGAGCACUUAGGUACACAAAUAAAAUUGCUGGUAAUGAAUGAAUGAGUUCCUCUCUGUGCCUGUUGAUUUUCCCUGUCCAGCACCCCCGCCAACCCAGUACACAGCAGGUGCUUAAUAAACCCUUGUGGAAUAAUGAAUGAAAAAUGAAUGAAUGAAUGCCCACGUCCACCCCUUGUCCCCUUGCCUUUCUGCUUCCCUUCUCUUUACCUUGGUCUCUUUAGAUAAAGCGUCUAUAUAGUUUGUAGGUAUAACUAUAUAUUCGUGUGUUUUGGGCCCCUCUCCAGGAGUUGGGCUGGGCUGGGAGUCCCUCCCUCCCCAUCGCCCCGCCCCCACAUGCACACAGCAAAACAUUAAAAAGAAAACAUCUCGAAACUGCAAAAAACACCACAGCCCUCCCCCCUCCCCCCCAAUCCCACAAAAAAAUAAAACACGACGCUCCCUCACAACGGCCCCCUCCUUUCCCUUCCCCCUCCCUCGGGGUCCCUGAUUCGGAGGGUCGGGGGCGCCCCCCACGCCGGGGCGGGGAGGGAAAGGCCAAGCAGUCUCCAGCGCGCUCGCGGGGA